CUGCAGGAUUUGUGAGCAGAACGUGUAGUUACGGGAAUAGUUCAAGGUACAAAGGCUAUUCAAACACUAUAAGCAAGAAAUCAUCUUUGCCACAACACUUAAAGGUCUCAGCAACAACAUUUCCCUUGAUUCUCUCCUACCCGCGAGAUGCCGCUUUCUGGAAUGAUAAUUUUGUGGCUGCCACCAACAGACACAUACGCUAUUGCUUCCAAUCUCUCAUCUAAAAUCACUGAAUGACAGGUCUGACAGAAACAAAUAGCAGGAUCAAUCAGAAACCUCCCCAAAACGGUUGUUCAAAGAGCUCAAGGAAUGUGUGCCCAAGUCAUUUAGACUCACUGCAAAUGUUCCUGGCCAGCAGUAGCUGCUUUUAUUGGAAACAAAAUUACGGGCUACAGCUACUAAUAGGUACAUUCACAGAGGAACUAAAGGUCCAUGGCAUUUUUUCUCCUAAUUAAGCGCCGCAUUUCUGAGACGUACGACAGAGCUCUUUCUUCUUAAAAGGCAUAGCAGAAGCCUAGCAGUCCGAAGCAGAUGAAAGAUAAGGAUGGACAAUAUGUUGGAAAGCCAUUUAUAUAAACAGUAAACAGUAGUGAACAACAAAAUCCGGUUCCAAGAUCCAAUGAACAGCUACAAGUUUCAAAGACUCUGGGAACAUCAGGCAACAAAAAAAUACGUUCUGGUCACCAUCCGGCAAUGGUGUUUUAGAGCAAUGCUGUUUUAGAACAGCAUAAAAAAAUGGCAGAAGAUGUGGGACAUGAGUAAACAUACCAUUGGUCUUUUCUCUUGGCCUUUGGGCCAACAUCAUACAAUCUCUUAAACGUGCAACUUUACUGAAUUAUGGAUGUAAACAUGGACAGAAUCAUUGGGAAGAAGUAGCUAUGGACAUAGACCAGCACUGAGAACUGCUGAGAUUCAUGUAGUUACUUGAAAAAAGGAGCU
Long non-coding RNA from Chroicocephalus ridibundus (black-headed gull), 939 nucleotides. RefSeq lists it as uncharacterized. The record is from RefSeq and is a predicted model, not a curated record. NCBI's taxonomy places the organism in Eukaryota, Metazoa, Chordata, Aves, Charadriiformes, Laridae. The transcript is spliced from 5 exons.